GAGUGGGCAACGGUAGGUCAGUAUGCCCCGAAUAUCCCGGGCUACACGCGGGCUACAAUGGGUGGGACAAUGGGUAUCUACACCGAAAGGGGAAGGAAAUCUCCUAAACCCAUUCUUAUUUCGGAUUGAGGGCUGUAACUCGCCCUCAUGAAGCUGGAAUCCGUAGUAAUCGCGUUUCAAAACAGCGCGGUGAAUACGUCCCUGCUCCUUGCACAAAAUCCUUACUCACGCUACUCCUUGCACA
This 244-nucleotide ribosomal RNA is filed under the name uncultured archaeon. RNAcentral describes it as "partial 16S ribosomal RNA". The stretch from base 1 to 215 matches the Rfam family "Archaeal small subunit ribosomal RNA", at positions 1129 to 1343 of the family's 1478-position model. The record is from RNAcentral.